This 65-nucleotide transfer RNA is filed under the name Leptalpheus forceps. RNAcentral's name for it is "tRNA-Leu". Lineage: Eukaryota; Metazoa; Arthropoda; Malacostraca; Decapoda; Alpheidae. The record is from RNAcentral.
AUUACCUUGGCAGAAUAUGCGCUAGAUUUAGGAUUUAGUUAUAUAGUUAGACACUAUAGGUAAUA